RNAcentral lists this unclassified non-coding RNA (157 nucleotides) under fungal sp. RNAcentral's name for it is "partial internal transcribed spacer region". The stretch from base 1 to 46 matches the Rfam family "Eukaryotic small subunit ribosomal RNA", at positions 1786 to 1831 of the family's 1831-position model. The record is from RNAcentral. Lineage: Eukaryota; Fungi.
AAGUCGUAACAAGGUUUCCGUAGGUGAACCUGCGGAAGGAUCAUUCGUAAAUGUCUUGGCUUUACGUUUUUGUGCACUGAUGAUGAUUUUUUUCUUAUUCUGUUGUUUUUUAAAAAGAAAAGCAAUACAACUUUCAGCAAUGGAUCUCUUGGCUCUU